CAGGUGCUGCAUGGCUGUCGUCAGCUCGUGUCGUGAGAUGUUGGGUUAAGUCCCGCAACGAGCGCAACCCUCGCCCUUAGUUGCCAGCAUUCAGUUGGGCACUCUAAGGGGACUGCCGGUGAUAAGCCGAGAGGAAGGUGGGGAUGACGUCAAGUCCUCAUGGCCCUUACGGGCUGGGCUACACACGUGCUACAAUGGUGGUGACAGUGGGCAGCGAAGGAGCGAUCCCGAGCUAAUCUCCAAAAGCCAUCUCAGUUCGGAUUGCACUCUGCAACUCGAGUGCAUGAAGUUGGAAUCGCU
Molecule: ribosomal RNA, 300 nt
Filed under: uncultured Alphaproteobacteria bacterium
Lineage: Bacteria; Pseudomonadati; Pseudomonadota; Alphaproteobacteria
Description: bacterial SSU rRNA
Rfam family: Bacterial small subunit ribosomal RNA
Source: RNAcentral